UACAGAGACCUCAAGCGUUAUCCGGAAUCAUUGGGCGUAAAGCGUACCGACAGGUGGUUUAGAAAGUCAGAUGUGAAAUUCCAAGGCUCAACCUUGGGACUGUCAUUUGAAACUUCUAAACUAGAGGGGCAAAGAGGAAGCUGGAACGAACGGUGUAGUAGUGAAAUGCGUUGAUAUCGUUCGGAACACCAAUAGCGAAGGCAGGCUUCUGGGUGCCACCUGACACUGCUAGGACGAAAGCGUGGGGAGCGAAUGGG
Molecule: ribosomal RNA, 257 nt
Filed under: uncultured bacterium
Lineage: Bacteria
Description: partial 16S ribosomal RNA
Rfam family: Bacterial small subunit ribosomal RNA
Source: RNAcentral